CGGAGGGUUGACCAGGAGUGAUGGCGUGCCUUUUGCAUAAUGAUCCGGCGACUUACCGUCAUGGGCAAGGUUAAGCGACUUUGUCGCGCAGCCGAAGCGAAAGCGAGUCUGAUAAGGGCGAACAAGUCCAGGGCGGUAGACGCGAAACCACGUGAACUACGCAUGGUCAGGUUGAAGUUGGGGUAAAACCCAAUGGAGGACCGAACUCACAUGGGUCGAAAACCGUGGGGAUGAACUGUGUGGAGGAUUGAAAGUAUCAUCAAGCGUGGAGAUAGCUCGUUCUCUCCGAAAUAACUUUAGGGUUACCUCGCCAAGUGAUGCAUAGGGGUAGAGCGACAAUUCGAUAGGGGGCCUACCCGGCUACCCUUCGAAACCAAACUCCGAAUACUAUGUAUCAGCAACGGCAGAUAGACUGUGGGGGAUAAGCUUCAUAGUCGAGAGGGGAACAACCCAGAUCGCCUGCUAAGGUCCCCAAGACAUGCUCAGUGCGAAAGGAAGUUGGAGUCCUGAGACAGCCAGGAUGUUGGCUUAGAAGCAGCCAUCAUUUAAAAAGUGCGUAAUAGCUUACUGGUCGAGGAUUCCUGCGCCGAUAAUGAACGGGACUUAAGCAUGUCACCGAAGCAGCGGAUUUGUUAGAAAUAACAAGUGGUAGGAGAGCGUUGCAUACGCCUGCGAAGGGGAACGGAUAACGAUCCCUGGAGGUACUGCAAGUGAUCAUGCCGGAAUGAGUAACGAUAAACAGGGUGAGAAUCCCUGUCGCCGAAAGCCUAAGGUUUCCUGGGGAAGGUAAAUCCGCCCAGGGUUAGUCGGAUCCUAAGACGAGGCCGAAAGGCGUAGUCGAUGGACAGCAGGUUAAUAUUCCUGCACCAUGGUUGGCGGUCGAUGGUAUCAGGACGCUUUUUGGAAAGUGAUCGGCCCAAUAGAAGUGGCCGUCCCGCAAGGGCGAGGGCAUAUACGAUCCCGAAGUCAUUGGGAAAAGAGUCAAGAAAAGCCGAUACCGGACAAGAACCAUGCCCGUACUAAAACUGACACAGGUAGGCGAGAUGAGUAUUCUAAGGCGCUCGAGAGAACGCUCGUGAAGGAACUCUGCAACAUGGCUCCGUAACUUCGGGAUAAGGAGCGCCCUUGAGGGUGUUAAAGCCUUUGGGGGCCGCAGUGAAAAGGGUCUAGCGACUGUUUACUAAAAACACAGGUCUGUGCCAAGGCGUAAGCCGACGUAUACAGACUGACGCCUGCCCGGUGCCGGUAAGUUAAGGAAGAGGGUUAGCCGUAAGGUGAAGCUCGCAACCGAAGCUCCGGUAAACGGCGGCCGUAACUAUGACGGUCCUAAGGUAGCGAAGUUCCUUGUCGGGUAAGUUCCGACCUGCAUGAAUGGCGUAACGACUGGACCACUGUCUCCACGAGCGACUCGGUGAAAUUGUAGUUGUCGUGAAGAUGCGACAUACCCGCGAUUAGACGGAAAGACCCCGUGAACCUUUACUGUAGCUUAGUAUUGGGUUUAGACCCAACAUGCGUAGUGUAGCUGGGAGACUAUGACCAGGGACUUCUGGGCCCCU
Molecule: ribosomal RNA, 1556 nt
Filed under: metagenome
Description: bacterial LSU rRNA
Rfam family: Bacterial large subunit ribosomal RNA
Source: RNAcentral